AUUGAACGCUGGCGGCAUGCCUUACACAUGCAAGUCGAACGGCAGCACGGGUGCUUGCACCUGGUGGCGAGUGGCGAACGGGUGAGUAAUACAUCGGAACAUGUCCUGUAGUGGGGGAUAGCCCGGCGAAAGCCGGAUUAAUACCGCAUACGAUCUACGGAUGAAAGCGGGGGACCUUCGGGCCUCGCGCUAUAGGGUUGGCCGAUGGCUGAUUAGCUAGUUGGUGGGGUAAAGGCCUACCAAGGCGACGAUCAGUAGCUGGCCUGAGAGGACGACCAGCCACACUGGGACUGAGCCACGGCCCAGACUCCUACGGGAGGCAGCAGUGGGGAAUUUUGGACAAUGGGCGAAAGCCUGAUCCAGCAAUGCCGCGUGUGUGAAGAAGGCCUUCGGGUUGUAAAGCACUUUUGUCCGGAAAGAAAUCCUUGGCCCUAAUACGGUCGGGGGAUGACGGUACCGGAAGAAUAAGCACCGGCUAACUACGUG
This 486-nucleotide ribosomal RNA is filed under the name uncultured bacterium. Its description in RNAcentral is "partial 16S ribosomal RNA". It matches the Rfam family "Bacterial small subunit ribosomal RNA", at positions 30 to 507 of the family's 1533-position model. The record is from RNAcentral.